CCCGUUUUGACUCUGGUGUUGCCUGAAAAGAAUAGCAGCAGCUAAAGCCUGUUCUUGAAUCAAAGAAUCAGUACUAUCUUUACGCUGUGAUCGGAUCCGGGUCCACCGAUUACUUGAAUUGGGUAAGGAUUGUGAGUUAUGAUUAUUAUUUCCCGGUAAACGUUUUGUGGGUUUCUUCUUUUUUACUGUUUUGGGGGCGAAACAAGUGCAAAGAUUGCCCAUUGUUUGUUUUUGUUCAUGUAGCAGUUACAAAAGAGAAAAACUUACAAAGAAACUAUUUUUAUAUGUGUAUAUAUAUACAUGUGAUUCUUAUUUAUAUUUCUCUUGUUAACAAGGAUUUUGGUUCUGAAAGAAGUGAAAUGGAGGGAGAUAAGAAAAGGGUAAAAGACUAAUUCAGGUGGCGGCGCCAGUGAUGGUGGAGGCGGAGGCGGAGGCGGAGGCCGCGGCGGCUGGUUUGUUAGUGAUGAGAGUUUUAAGGGGUUUUAUAGGAACUGUCAUGUUUGUUUUGAUGACAAAGAAGGGACUUUUGUAGUUGUUGAGCAUGGUGUGUGCUUUAUUCGUGUUAUAUUUUCUUAAUUAGUAGACAUUUUUUAUUAUUUAAUUAAAG
This 607-nucleotide long non-coding RNA is filed under the name Ricinus communis (castor bean). Its description in RNAcentral is "long non-coding RNA (RCOM_LNC003048)". The record is from RNAcentral. Lineage: Eukaryota; Viridiplantae; Streptophyta; Magnoliopsida; Malpighiales; Euphorbiaceae.